AACGAACGCUGGCGGCGUGGAUUAGGCAUGCAAGUCGAACGUGAAAGGGGCUUCGGCCCUGAGUAAAGUGGCAAACGGGUGAGUAACGCGUGGAGAACCUGCCCGGAAGCGGGGGAUAACACUUCUAACGAGGUGCUAAUACCGCAUGUGUCUGCGUGAGCGCAUGCUCGCGCAGGUAAACGUGGCCUCUGCUCGCAAGCUACGGCUUCCGGAUGGCUCUGCGUCUCAUUAGCUAGUUGGUGGGGUAACGGCUCACCAAGGCGACGAUGGGUAGCUGGUCUGAGAGGAUGGUCAGCCACACUGGGACUGAGAUACGGCCCAGACUCCUACGGGAGGCAGCAGUCGAGAGGCUUCCGCAAGUGGGGAAACCCUGACGGAGCGACGCCGCGUGAGCGAUGAA
RNAcentral lists this ribosomal RNA (400 nucleotides) under uncultured bacterium. RNAcentral's name for it is "bacterial SSU rRNA". It matches the Rfam family "Bacterial small subunit ribosomal RNA", at positions 28 to 412 of the family's 1533-position model. The record is from RNAcentral.